This 311-nucleotide long non-coding RNA is filed under the name Mytilus galloprovincialis (Mediterranean mussel). Lineage: Eukaryota; Metazoa; Mollusca; Bivalvia; Mytilida; Mytilidae. The record is from RNAcentral.
CUAAUUCGUCAGCAUCAUCCAAUUGGUUCUUGUCUUCUAUUACUUAAUCAUCUCAUUCUAAAGAAGUAAAUGGAAAGGAGCGAAUGCAGCUACAUUUGGUUGUAUUAAGUUUAAAUUCAUGUUAUUCCGUUUAGUUCCUUUUCUACAUAUGUGCAGUGGAGAACUGCAGUUGUCCACAUGUAAACUUCAAGCAUUUGUUACCAAUAUGAGUACAUCGCAAUCCGUUACUGUUUCAACACCCAGGGUGGUUUCAUGUCGUUAUUCUUAAACAAUUAUUGUUUUUUUUUCUCUCUUUUUUAGCAAUGCAUCAC